UACGGAGGGUGCGAGCGUUGUCCGGAAUUACUGGGCGUAAAGCGCGCGUAGGCGGACCUGCAAGUCGGGGGUGAAAGCCCGAGGCUCAACCUCGGAACUGCCUUCGAUACUGCGGGUCUCGAGUCCGGGAGAGGUGAGUGGAAUUCCUAGUGUAGAGGUGAAAUUCGUAGAUAUUAGGAAGAACACCAGUGGCGAAGGCGGCUCACUGGCCCGGUACUGACGCUGAGGCGCGAAAGCGUGGGGAGCAAACAGG
This 253-nucleotide ribosomal RNA is filed under the name uncultured bacterium. Its description in RNAcentral is "partial 16S ribosomal RNA". It matches the Rfam family "Bacterial small subunit ribosomal RNA", at positions 524 to 776 of the family's 1533-position model. The record is from RNAcentral.